CGGCGGACGGGUGAGUAACACGUGAGUAACCUGCCUUAGACAUUGGGAUAGCCUCGGAAACCGGGAUUAAUACCAAAUGAAAUCACAUAUGCACAUGCAUAAAUGAUCAAAGCUCCGGCGGUCUAAGAUGGACUCGCGUCCCAUUAGCUAGUUGGUGAGGUAACGGCCCACCAAGGCGACGAUGGGUAGCCGGCCUGAGAGGGUGAACGGCCACAUUGGAACUGAGAAACGGUCCAAACUCCUACGGGAGGCAGCAGAU
Molecule: ribosomal RNA, 259 nt
Filed under: uncultured Peptoniphilus sp.
Lineage: Bacteria; Bacillati; Bacillota; Tissierellia; Tissierellales; Peptoniphilaceae
Description: partial 16S ribosomal RNA
Rfam family: Bacterial small subunit ribosomal RNA
Source: RNAcentral